AACGCUGGCGGCAGGCCUAACACAUGCAAGUCGAGCGCCGUAGCAAUACGGAGCGGCAGACGGGAGAGUAACACGUGGGAACGUGCCCUAUGGUUCGGAACAACCCAGGGAAACUUGGGCUAAUACCGGAUAAGCCCUUACGGGGAAAGAUUUAUCGCCGAAGGAUCGGCCCGCGUCUGAUUAGCUAGUUGGUGGGGUAAUGGCCCACCAAGGCGACGAUCAGUAGCUGGUCUGAGAGGAUGAUCAGCCCCACUGGGACUGAGACACGGCCCAGACUCCUACGGGAGGCAGCAGUGGGGAAUAUUGGACAAUGGGCGCAAGCCUGAUCCAGCCAUGCCGCGUGGGUGAUGAAGGCCCUAGGGUUGUAAAGCCCUUUCGGCGGGGAAGAUAAUGACGGUACCCGCAGAAGAAGCCCCGGCUAACUUCGUGCCAGCAGCCGCGGUAAUACGAAGGGGGCUAGCGUUGCUCGGAAUCACUGGGCGUAAAGCGCACGUAGGCGGAUUGCUAAGUCAGGGGUGAAAUCCUGGAGCUCAACUCCAGAACUGCCUUUGAUACUGGCGAUCUCGAGUCCGGGAGAGGUGAGUGGAACUGCGAGUGUAAAGGUGAAAUUCG
Molecule: ribosomal RNA, 612 nt
Filed under: uncultured bacterium
Lineage: Bacteria
Description: bacterial SSU rRNA
Rfam family: Bacterial small subunit ribosomal RNA
Source: RNAcentral